Molecule: transfer RNA, 86 nt
Filed under: Rugosimonospora africana
Lineage: Bacteria; Bacillati; Actinomycetota; Actinomycetes; Micromonosporales; Micromonosporaceae
Description: tRNA-Ser
Rfam family: tRNA
About the family: Transfer RNA (tRNA) molecules are approximately 80 nucleotides in length.
Source: RNAcentral
GGAGGAUUGGCCGAGUGGUAAGGCAGCGGGUUGCUAACCCGUAACGGGUCACACCGUCGUGGGUUCGACUCCCUCAUCCUCCGCCA